GAUGAACGCUGGCGGCGUGCCUAAUACAUGCAAGUCGAGCGAACAGACGAGGAGCUUGCUCCUCUGACGUUAGCGGCGGACGGGUGAGUAACACGUGGAUAACCUACCUAUAAAACUGGGAUAACUUCGGGAAACCGGAGCUAAUACCGGAUAAUAUAUUGAACCGCAUGGUUCAAUAGUGAAAGACGGUUUUGCUGUCACUUAUAGAUGGAUCCGCGCCGCAUUAGCUAGUUGGUAAGGUAACGGCUUACCAAGGCAACGAUGCGUAGCCGACCUGAGGGGGUGGACCGCCCCACCGGAACUGAGACACCGUCCCGACUCCCAAGGGGGGGCAGAAUUGGGAAUUCUCCGCAAAGGGGGAAAACCCGGCCGAGGCAACCCGCGUGAGUGAAGAAAGUCUUCGGGUUGUAAAACCCCUUUUACAGGGAAAAAAAAAUGUGUAAAGAACUAUUCCCGUUUUGAGGGUACCCAAUCAGAAAGCCCCCGGUAACCUAGGG
RNAcentral lists this ribosomal RNA (497 nucleotides) under uncultured bacterium. RNAcentral's name for it is "partial 16S ribosomal RNA". It matches the Rfam family "Bacterial small subunit ribosomal RNA", at positions 28 to 507 of the family's 1533-position model. The record is from RNAcentral.